GUUUGGUUAAGUUAGAAAGGGCGCACGGUGGAUGCCUUGACACUAGGAGUCGAUGAAGGACGGGACUAACGCCGAUAUGCUUCGGGGAGCUGUAAGUAAGCUUUGAUCCGAAGAUUUCCGAAUGGGGAAACCCACUAUACGUAAUGGUAUGGUAUCCUUACCUGAAUACAUAGGGUAUGGAAGACAGACCCAGGGAACUGAAACAUCUAAGUACCUGGAGGAAGAGAAAGCAAAUGCGAUUU
This 242-nucleotide ribosomal RNA is filed under the name Bacillus mycoides. Its description in RNAcentral is "partial 23S ribosomal RNA". It matches the Rfam family "Bacterial large subunit ribosomal RNA", at positions 1 to 237 of the family's 2925-position model. The record is from RNAcentral. Lineage: Bacteria; Bacillati; Bacillota; Bacilli; Caryophanales; Bacillaceae.